UACGAAGGGUGCUAGCGUUGUUCGGAUUUACUGGGCGUAAAGCGCACGUAGGCGGAUCGUUAAGUCGGGGGUGAAAUCCUGGAGCUCAACUCCAGAACUGCCUUCGAUACUGGCGAUCUAGAGUCCGGAAGAGGUGAGUGGAACUCCUAGUGUAGAGGUGGAAUUCGUAGAUAUUAGGAAGAACACCAGUGGCGAAGGCGGCUCACUGGUCCGGUACUGACGCUGAGGUGCGAAAGCGUGGGGAGCAAACAGG
This 253-nucleotide ribosomal RNA is filed under the name uncultured bacterium. RNAcentral's name for it is "partial 16S ribosomal RNA". It matches the Rfam family "Bacterial small subunit ribosomal RNA", at positions 524 to 776 of the family's 1533-position model. The record is from RNAcentral.